RNAcentral lists this ribosomal RNA (301 nucleotides) under uncultured bacterium. RNAcentral's name for it is "partial 16S ribosomal RNA". It matches the Rfam family "Bacterial small subunit ribosomal RNA", at positions 509 to 807 of the family's 1533-position model. The record is from RNAcentral.
CAGCCGCCGCGGUAAUACGGAGGGGGCUAGCGUUGUUCGGAAUUACUGGGCGUAAAGCGCACGUAGGCGGCUUUGUAAGUCAGAGGUGAAAGCCCGGGGCUCAACCCCGGAAUUGCCUUUGAGACUGCAUCGCUUGAAUCCAGGAGAGGUGAGUGGAAUUCCGAGUGUAGAGGUGAAAUUCGUAGAUAUUCGGAAGAACACCAGUGGCGAAGGCGGCUCACUGGACUGGUAUUGACGCUGAGGUGCGAAAGCGUGGGGAGCAAACAGGAUUAGAUACCCCGGUAGUCCCUGUCUCUUAUAC